GACGAACGCUGGCGGCGUGCUUAACACAUGCAAGUCGAACGGAAAGGCCCUGCUUUUGUGGGGUGCUCGAGUGGCGAAAGGGUGAGUAACACGUGAGUAACCUGCCCUUGACUUUGGGAUAACUUCAGGAAACUGGGGCUAAUACCGGAUAGGAGCUCCUGCUGCAUGGUGGGGGUUGGAAAGUUUCGGCGGUUGGGGAUGGACUCGCGGCUUAUCAGCUUGUCGGUGGGGUAGUGGCUUACCAAGGCUUUGACGGGUAGCCGGCCUGAGAGGGUGACCGGCCACAUUGGGACUGAGAUACGGCCCAGACUCCUACGGGAGGCAGCAGUGGGGAAUAGUGCACAAUGGGCGGAAGCCUGAUGCAGCAACGCCGCGUGCGGGAUGACGUCCUUCGGGUUGUAAACCGCUUUCGCCUGUGACGAAGCGUGAGUGACGGUAAUGGGUAAAGAAGCACCGGCUAACUACGUG
This 468-nucleotide ribosomal RNA is filed under the name uncultured bacterium. Its description in RNAcentral is "partial 16S ribosomal RNA". It matches the Rfam family "Bacterial small subunit ribosomal RNA", at positions 28 to 507 of the family's 1533-position model. The record is from RNAcentral.